GUGUUUUUGACUUUCUCUUUAUUUCCCCCACGAAAAUUGAGGAUUGACUGCAUUGGGGGUUUUCUGGAUUUUGAUCACCAGAUCAGAUGAUUGACAGCCCUACCACCUCUGAUGUCGCUUCCAUUGUGCACACCCCCUGGACCCACCUCUUCCUGUCGGCAGGGUGGUCCGCCCCACAGGUUGAGAACCACUGGACUGACGUGUUUUGGGAGAUGGACAUUGGCAAAGUAGAGGAGAUGAAAUGGAAAGAAGAAGACAGACAUACAACCUGGGCAGCCGACAGACAUUCAGAAACACAGGUGGCGAGUGCCAGGAAGAAACACAGAACAACUGAUGAACCUUCAACCUAACAACAAUUCCCAGAAGACAACCUAGCAAUACUUCCUGUUCCGGUUCCAAGAACCCACCUACUCCUGACAUUAUAUCUGGUGCCCUAACGCACCUACUGUACGUCUGAUGUAAUAUCCAGCCCCAAUAUGCCACUUUACCACUACAUCAGUUCCUGUUUUGUGAUUAUAAAUGUCAUCCAUUUUGUCAAACUCUUCAGUUCUGUUCUGGACUCCUGUCUGUAAAGAUAUAUUUCAUAAUCAGCAGUUGUCAAGUGUACAGGGUGGAUCCCCAGACUUUCAUGAUUUUUUGAGUCUUUUCUCAAAGUACGUAUGUCCUGAUUGUUAAACGUGAAUAACAACACUGGGUGCGCCGAUUCCUGUUUGUAAAUUGGGGUCUGUGCCUUUAAACAGGUUUCCAUUGAUGCAGAGGCGCUUGUGGGAUUCGUAGUU
Polypterus senegalus (gray bichir) is the source of this 779-nucleotide long non-coding RNA. RefSeq lists it as uncharacterized. Lineage: Eukaryota; Metazoa; Chordata; Cladistia; Polypteriformes; Polypteridae. The transcript has 4 exons. The record is from RefSeq and is a predicted model, not a curated record.